This 54-nucleotide ribosomal RNA is filed under the name Fusarium sp. RNAcentral describes it as "partial small subunit ribosomal RNA". The record is from RNAcentral. Lineage: Eukaryota; Fungi; Ascomycota; Sordariomycetes; Hypocreales; Nectriaceae.
CCCGUAUUGCUUUGGCAGUACGCUGGCUUCUUAGAGGGACUAUCGGCUCAAGCC